Long non-coding RNA from Sus scrofa (pig), 1467 nucleotides. RefSeq lists it as uncharacterized. Lineage: Eukaryota; Metazoa; Chordata; Mammalia; Artiodactyla; Suidae. The record is from RefSeq and is a predicted model, not a curated record.
GAUCACAUAUCCCAUAACCAUCCUCCCUAUCUUUAAAAACCGUUCCCUGCAAGCCUGCAGGGAGUUUGGGUCUUUUAAGCACUAGUUACCAUGGGACGCCUUGCUUGGCCCUGUGAAAUAAAUGCUGCACUUUCCUUCACCCCAACCCAGUGUAAGUAGAUUGGCUUUACUGUGCGGGAAAGUGGACCCACAUGGUUUGGUAACAUUAUUACCAGCUUACAUAGCAAGUCUCAAGUCUGAUUCAAGUCUGAUUCAAGUUGGCAAACGCCACGGCCCUAGCUCUGCAGUUUCUUCCAGUCAUCUCUCUCUAUUGAGAUUUUGGUGGGUAUUUCCUGUUGUCUUGCUGGCAGCCUGUACUCUGGAGAGUGCCAUACUUUGUAAUGCUGACGAGUUGCAAAAGUUUGCCAAAGAAAAAUGCAGUUGACCAAAAUGGAAUAUCUUUGCACAAGGAUUUUCUGGCAUUUUCAUCGGCUCUAUAUUGAAAAGACAGAUGCCAUUAGGAACCUUUGUGAUUCACCGAAAGAGGUCAGAAUAUCAACAUUGACAAUGGUUUGGAAGAAGUUGACCCGAAUCCUCAUAGAUAUGACUUCGAGGGAGUUAAGAUGUGAGUGCUAAAACACAUGCAUUAACCAAGCAGGAUUCAAUUCAUGACACCAAACUAACACCGUUUUUACUUCCAGAAAUUUAUUCAUGGAUCUUGCAUAAGAGGCACUUAUUACGUAUAGUACUGCUCUUAAACUAUUUCUGCACCAUUGGUUCUUAAACUUUUACGUACAUCACAAUGAUCUGGGGAGAUAUCGAGGUAUACAAAAAGCAGAUUUCCAUGCCUAGAUAUAAUAACUUGAGUGGUUUGGUUUGGGGCCCUGAUCAUUUAUUAUUAAUUAGUUGUUUUCUAGUAAUAACCUCAGAUAAGUUUAAUGUAUAGCCUGGAUUGAUAAUCAUAGUUAUGGGAUAUAUUAAUAAGAGUGAAAUUGCUAAAUUGUAAAUCAUGUAUAUCUUUAAUUUUGUAACUUGUCCCCCAAAAUGGUUGUAAAAAUUUAUACUUUCACAAGGAAAAUAUUAGAUGUGUUUCUGUUAUCCUGAAGAAAUUUUGAGUUUUCUAACUAUAUAGUUACAUAUUUUGUUACUGCCUGGUUUUGAGCACAUAUUCAUAAAUUUCAUCUUCUAAGCUCAUGUAUUUUAUCAGUUUUAUAAUGGCACUGUUUAUGUUUUUCAUAUUGAUUUGUAAUUUGAAAAAAUAUAGUCUGCAGAGUUCCUGUUGUAGUGCCAUGGGAUUGGGAGCGUCUUGGGAGAAGUGGGAUGCAGGUUCAAUCCCCAAAUUUGAUCCCUGGCCUGGGAACUCCAUAUGUCAUGGGGUAGCCAAAAAAGAAAAUAAAAAUUUUAAAAUAUAGUGUGAUGCCUAAAACUUUAUUAUGUAUGAUAUACAAUUUUGUCUCUUUUCACUUCAUAUAUGGUGUCUUUAGACAA